GGGUAUAAGAGACAGGUGAAUCAUCGAAUCUUUGAACGCACAUUGCGCCCGCUAGUAUUCUGGCGGGCAUGCCUGUUCGAGCGUCAUUUCAACCAUCAAGCCCUAGGCUUGUGUUGGGGCCCUGCGGCCGUCCGCAGCCCCCUAAAAACAGUGGCGGGCUCGCUAUAUACCGAGUGCAGUAGUUUACUCUUCGCUCAGGACAUGUAGUGGGUUCUUGCCGUAAAACCCCCCAUUUUCUAAGGUUGACCUCGGAUCAGGUAGGAAUACCCGCUGAACUUAAGCAUAUCAAUAAGCGGAGGA
This 300-nucleotide unclassified non-coding RNA is filed under the name uncultured Apodus. Its description in RNAcentral is "sequence contains 5.8S rRNA gene, ITS2". The stretch from base 1 to 86 matches the Rfam family "5.8S ribosomal RNA", at positions 67 to 154 of the family's 154-position model. The record is from RNAcentral. Lineage: Eukaryota; Fungi; Ascomycota; Sordariomycetes; Sordariales; Lasiosphaeriaceae.